Molecule: transfer RNA, 74 nt
Filed under: Saccharina latissima
Lineage: Eukaryota; Phaeophyceae; Laminariales; Laminariaceae
Description: tRNA-Ile
Rfam family: tRNA
About the family: Transfer RNA (tRNA) molecules are approximately 80 nucleotides in length. Their secondary structure includes four short double-helical elements and three loops (D, anti-codon, and T loops).
Source: RNAcentral
CGGUUUGUAGUUUAAUUGGCAAAACAUAGUUCUCAUGAAGCUACCAAUGUAGGUUCAACCCCUGCCAAACCGAG